UAGCUCAGUCGGUAGAGCAUGAG
Molecule: non-coding RNA, 23 nt
Filed under: Drosophila melanogaster (fruit fly)
Lineage: Eukaryota; Metazoa; Arthropoda; Insecta; Diptera; Drosophilidae
Also listed under: 3 other names
Source: RNAcentral